Molecule: ribosomal RNA, 495 nt
Filed under: uncultured Glomeromycotina
Lineage: Eukaryota; Fungi; Glomeromycota
Description: partial small subunit ribosomal RNA
Rfam family: Eukaryotic small subunit ribosomal RNA
Source: RNAcentral
CCAAUAGCAUAUAUUGAAGUUGUUGCAGUUAAAACGCUCGUAGUUGAAUUUUAGGCCUGGCCGGGCGGUCCGUCUUUGGCGAGUACUGUCCUGUGUCGGGCCUUCCUUCUGGUGAACCAGCAUGUCCUUUAUUGGGCGUGCCGGGGAGCCAGGACUAUUACCUUGAAAAAAUUAGAGUGUUUAAAGCAGGCGAUUGCUUGAAUAGAUUAGCAUGGAAUAAUAAAAUAGGACGUUGGUUCUAUUUUGUUGGUUUCUAGGAUCAACGUAAUGAUUAAUAGGGGUAGUUGGGGGCAUUAGUAUUCAAUUGUCAGAGGUGAAAUUCUUAGAUUUAUUGAAGACUAACUACUGCGAAAGCAUUUGCCAAGGAUAUCUUCAUUAAUCAAGAACGAAAGUUAGGGGAUCGAAGACGAUUAGAUACCGUCGUAGUCUUAACCGUAAACUAUGCCGACUAGGAAUCGGGCGAAGUUAUUUUUCUGACUCGCUCGGCGCCUUACG